This 256-nucleotide long non-coding RNA is filed under the name Elaeis guineensis (African oil palm). RNAcentral describes it as "long non-coding RNA (EGUI_LNC038225)". Lineage: Eukaryota; Viridiplantae; Streptophyta; Magnoliopsida; Arecales; Arecaceae. The record is from RNAcentral.
CUUAACAUUUCCUUCUAACACAGAUCUAAUCACUGAAAUUGUGCCACAUGUCUGAUGUUGUAAUUUACAUAUGAUAAACUCACCUGGAAAAAGAGGAUAAGCAAAACUAUUGUAGCCACUUAGAAUUCUGCUUUUGAAUUUUAUUAUCACAUUUGAUUCUUUGAAAUUCAUACAAGGACAUAUUUCUACAAAUAGUUAGCUUCACUGAGUCCUAAACUGAACCAUCUACUUAUGAAGCACUUAAGCCUUUUCUUCC